RNAcentral lists this long non-coding RNA (215 nucleotides) under Brachypodium distachyon (stiff brome). RNAcentral describes it as "long non-coding RNA (BDIS_LNC004516)". Lineage: Eukaryota; Viridiplantae; Streptophyta; Magnoliopsida; Poales; Poaceae. The record is from RNAcentral.
UAAGCUAGUGCAAGUAUUUAGAUCUCCCUUGGCAUUACAUGGCUAUAUACUAGUUUAAGCAAUUAUGCAUAUUUGCGCUCCAAUCAGCAUCUUACCACAAGAACAUCGCACAUGCUCGUCUCACUGGUGCCAGUAGGCAAUUGAAAAGGGCAAUCAAGAUUAAAGUACACUACACUCUACUUCAAAGCAGCAAUAAAGAAAGAAAAAAACGGUGC